GUCAGAGAACCCUUCAAACCCUGAUUAUUGGUGUCGUCCGAGUCAUAUCAAAUAACUAAAACUUUCAACAACGGAUCUCUUGGUUCUGGCAUCGAUGAAGAACGCAGCGAA
RNAcentral lists this ribosomal RNA (111 nucleotides) under Pseudocyphellaria crocata. Its description in RNAcentral is "5.8S ribosomal RNA". The stretch from base 60 to 111 matches the Rfam family "5.8S ribosomal RNA", at positions 1 to 52 of the family's 154-position model. The record is from RNAcentral. Lineage: Eukaryota; Fungi; Ascomycota; Lecanoromycetes; Peltigerales; Lobariaceae.